Molecule: long non-coding RNA, 232 nt
Filed under: Homo sapiens (human)
Lineage: Eukaryota; Metazoa; Chordata; Mammalia; Primates; Hominidae
Description: LHRI_LNC769.1
Source: RNAcentral
UUUGCCUGAUGCUCAUGUCUGUUGCUUUGGUUGGGCUGCUGCUUUCUCUUCUGUGUUCUUAUGGGUUCGUUGUGGUAUAAGGAUUCCCACAGCUUUCAUGGCAGUAUGAAGUAAUGAGAAGCAUUGCCUUAGCCAUGUUAGUUACAUGUAUACUUUUGGCCUAUGUUAUGAAUCACAAAAAGCGGUAGCUAUAGGAAUGUAUACAAAAUAGAUUUCUGUCUGGGGAAUCAAG